CAGGAAACGUGUUCUCAUGCAGUGGACUCACUAAUAAACGUUCUCUUCUUUUAGGUUCAUCCUUCUACUGAACAAAUCGCUGCCCUGAAGCUUGAACACUGUUGCUCAUCUCUGUGUAACCUGUGAAUUGUCUCUUUGGUUUCCUGUUUUCUUACAUGCUGGGGGACGUGCCUCCCAAGCAGUUUGCUGUUGCAUUUUCACAAUAGCUGUGUCGUGGUUAAAACAUGAAAAAAUCAAGAGAUGUUUGGCUUCCUUGCUAUCUUUGAAGGUAUGUAGCAAGAAAUAACUUUGGCUAGACAGUGACAUAUUAUUUUUUCAUCAUGGAUGCACACU
Molecule: long non-coding RNA, 333 nt
Filed under: Zonotrichia albicollis (white-throated sparrow)
Lineage: Eukaryota; Metazoa; Chordata; Aves; Passeriformes; Passerellidae
Description: lncRNA (ENSZALG00000013626.1)
Source: RNAcentral